UGACUGAGAACCUUCACAGACACACAACACUGUUUAAUACAUUUCUGUUUUUGUUAUUCAGAAUUCAGCCAAGAGUUCCCACCAAGCACCCUCUCCCUGGAGGACCAAUGGAAAGGUCAACGGGACUCCGUCUCCUCUGUCGCUUAGCCCUUCUCCAGCCAGCAACGGAGGAGGAGCGGGAGGAGGAUCCGGAGGUGCACCGGGGUCAUCGGGCAGCGUGGCAAUUCCCCAGCGGAUUCACCACAUGGCUGCCAGUCACGUUAACAUCACAAACAACAUCCUGCGGAGCUACGAACACUGGGAGACGUCUGACAGACUGGCCGCUGAGAGCCAAGAUUUCUUCCAGGAGCUGGACUCUGUGAUGGAGCCGUUGAGUCAGCAGAGCAGCAUGACAGAGCUGGUUCGCUACGUAAGGCAGGGACUGCACUGGCUCCGCAUAGAGGCUCACCUGCUGUGAAGACUGGACUAGAGCCAACAUUAAGAAAAAGAAGAAAUGGGCUGGGAGCUAGAACUCAAGUGAGAUGAGACCCAGAACGAUGCUUCAGUUCCCACUGGGAUCCUUUGAAUGUCUUUACACCAUGCAUGGUAAUAUAAUGGCUUACACCAGGUGGAUUAAUUGGGCUGAAAUCACCUUUAAUUAGGAGUGAACAGUAACUAAGUUUGGGAAUUUCAGCUGUGAACCACAGAAUACAAAUGAUCAUAUUAACAAUUUGGCUGAUGCUGCUUUUUUGGGGGGGAGCAACAGUAUACAAGUGAUUGUAGCUUUAACUCCUGAAGGGAAUGCACAUGUUCCCAACCUCAUCUCCCAGUUUCACUGAGAUGGGUUCAUUCUCCAACAGACAAGUGUGAGGCUGAAUGUAGGGAAAGAGCCUCAACAGAGGCUCACCUCUACCAGCAGUGGACCAGAAAUGUGUCAAUGAUUAGGAAAGAAUUAAAGCUUUAGGCUGAUAUUGAUCCAAGUGGAAGAGUACCAGUCCAAUCUAUUAGUUAGGGACCACACUGGUAAAGAGGCUCAGCUACAACCACUAAUGGAGGCUAAAUUCAUUACACUUCUUUUAUUUCACUCCAUCUUCAGUCUUUAAAGAGGGAUCCUCAACAACCAACCAAAAGCUAGAACCUGCAGUUAUUAGUUAGUACAGAGUUACUUUAUUACAUUUAAAGCCUCAGUCACACUAGAGAAAACAGGACAGCUAUCUGUUUGUGACGGGGAGGAUCACCUGUUGAUCGGUGAUUGCACUGAACUUGUUCCACUUACAGUGAGUCGGUGCAAUCAGCUGGUUGCCCAGAGAUUGAGCAGCACUCAACCUCUGCUUCACCACUUCCAGUUGCAAGGCAGUUGCACAAGUUGACAGGUUGCCUGUCGAGCAGCAACCUGUCUCCAAACAGAGUGCAACUCAGACUGACUGCAGUCGCUCUCAGACAGAUUCGAUUAUUGCAAUCAGUCUGCACAGAUGAGCACAACUUGACAUAUUUGCGACAGGGAACUCGGCUCAAAUGGUUGUUGCAUUCUGCUUAUAUUCCUACAUCAAAGCAAGACUGCCGAGCCCCCACAUCAGGAGCUACGUGACUUUUGCUGGAGGAAUUUCUGAGUUCCUGUUUCCAGUCUAUGAUCUUCUGCAGUUCAUGUCAAUUUGUGUGCCUGUAGACGGCAACAUAUUUGUGACAGAUGGCAACAGAUUUGAUAUUUUCACCGAUUUAUUGCCAUUAAUCCAUGUAUUAUCACAAACAGAUUGCACAUAUUUGCCAGCUUGACCCAGUUCACAAUCGCAAAGUGACUCCCUGUUUUUCACCAUCGUAUUCCACCAAAGUAGGAGACUGAGCAGUCGGACACCUGGUCGCCAUUUUCAGAGCAACCGUUUCAGAGUUUCCCUAGUGUGACUGUAGUGUGACGUGAUGACAUUUCGGUUUAGUAAAAAUAUCUAUUACUCUGGUUUAAUUUGGGAGUAAAGAAGUUAAACUGUUACUCUCAACAAUGGCAAAAUUAACUUAUUGGCAGUUCAGGAAGAACCUUUAUGCCACAUUUAAUUUCUGAAAAGCACACAGUGCAGUUGGGUUUUGUGUUUCUCCUCAGUAUCACACAGACAGUCUAACCCACUCCCACCAGGCAAAGCCCGAGAUUCACACAGUUUAAACAAACGAGCACUAGCAAAAAGGGAAUCCUUCCUAAUGAGAUUUUUGUAUUUAAAUGAGGAUCUUUUGACCAAAUAAAAUUGUAAACUACAUUACAGGUACAAUAGGGCAAAGCUUCAAAAAUAUCUAAAGUCUUGUAGUAUAAGUUGAAGUUUCAGUUUUGUGGGCUACCAGAACAAACAUCCAGUUUGCUGGACCUACAAAUAAGGGCUUUCUUCCAUCACAUAAAGCAUCUGUCUGGUUCUUCUCUUGCUGGUUAUGAGCUUUUGUGAAAUUCCACUCAGUUCUAGUUCCCA
Molecule: long non-coding RNA, 2426 nt
Organism: Haplochromis burtoni (Burton's mouthbrooder)
Lineage: Eukaryota; Metazoa; Chordata; Actinopteri; Cichliformes; Cichlidae
Exons: 3
Source: RefSeq, a predicted model, not a curated record